Molecule: ribosomal RNA, 468 nt
Filed under: uncultured bacterium
Lineage: Bacteria
Description: partial 16S ribosomal RNA
Rfam family: Bacterial small subunit ribosomal RNA
Source: RNAcentral
GACGAACGCUGGCGGCGUGCUUAACACAUGCAAGUCGAACGGAAAGGCCCUGCUUUUGUGGGGUGCUCGAGUGGCGAACGGGUGAGUAACACGUGAGUAACCUGCCCUUGACUUUGGGAUAACUUCAGGAAACUGGGGAUAAUACCGGAUAGGAGCUCCUGCUGCAUGGUGGGGGUAGGAAAGUUUCGGCGGUUGGGGAUGGACUCGCGGCUUAUCAGCUUGUUGGUGGGGUAGUGGCUUACCAAGGCUUUGACGGGUAGCCGGCCUGAGAGGGUGACCGGCCACAUUGGGACGGAGAUACGGCCCAGACUCCUACGGGAGGCAGCAGUGGGGAAUAUUGCACAAUGGGCGGAAGCCUGAUGCAGCAACGCCGCGUGCGGGAUGACGGCCUGCGGGUUGUAAACCGCUUUCGCCUGUGACGAAGCGUGAGUGACGGUAAUGGGUAAAGAAGCACCGGCUAACUACGUG